UGGGGAAUAUUGCACAAUGGGCGCAAGCCUGAUGCAGCCAUGCCGCGUGUAUGAAGAAGGCCUUCGGGUUGUAAAGUACUUUCAGCGAGGAGGAAGGCGUUGCGGUUAAUAACCGCAGCGAUUGACGUUACUCGCAGAAGAAGCACCGGCUAACUCCGUGCCAGCAGCCGCGGUAAUACGGAGGGUGCAAGCGUUAAUCGGAAUUACUGGGUGUAAAGCGCACGCAGGCGGUCUGUCAAGUCGGAUGUGAAAUCCCCGGGCUCAACCUGGGAACUGCAUCCGAAACUGGCAGGCUAGAGUCUUGUAGAGGGGGGUAGAAUUCCAGGUGUAGCGGUGAAAUGCGUAGAGAUCUGGAGGAAUACCGGUGGCGAAGGCGGCCCCCUGGACAAAGACUGACGCUCAGGUGCGAAAGCGUGGGGAGCAAACA
This 427-nucleotide ribosomal RNA is filed under the name uncultured bacterium. Its description in RNAcentral is "partial 16S ribosomal RNA". It matches the Rfam family "Bacterial small subunit ribosomal RNA", at positions 355 to 774 of the family's 1533-position model. The record is from RNAcentral.